GUUGAUAUAGCUCAAUUGGUAGAGCGUCAGAUUGUGGCUCUGAAGGUUGUGGGUUCAAACCCCAUUAUCUACC
RNAcentral lists this transfer RNA (73 nucleotides) under Corchorus olitorius. It matches the Rfam family "tRNA". Rfam says of the family: Transfer RNA (tRNA) molecules are approximately 80 nucleotides in length. Their secondary structure includes four short double-helical elements and three loops (D, anti-codon, and T loops). The record is from Rfam by way of RNAcentral. Lineage: Eukaryota; Viridiplantae; Streptophyta; Magnoliopsida; Malvales; Malvaceae.